GCCGUCCAAGCUCUAGAUGACUGCGCAUUAUACGUCUAACCUCUUUCAUGGACGACCAACAAUAUACGUACAGUCGCUCCGAACGAAAGAAUUGCUAAAAUAUGUGCUGACACUGCGGAGUUUACGGCCACAGCUGUUCGUAUUUAGGCGAGGCAGCUGCGAUACUGGCGUGUGCGUCGACCAAGCGUUUCUCAGCAGGAAGGGAUUAUGUGUUUCUUGAAACUGUUCCUCCCCGAUAAAUACGCCAAGCGCAGGGCAGCGAUGGAGCCUUUCUUCGCCGGCAUAGCCCAACUUCAGUCAGCCCAAGCCAUACCGUCACGCCAUAUGUCCACACAACUGGCCCGCACUGAAGAGACGUCCUUCGGAAAUGCGGCCCCAAAGUGCCAACAGCGGAAACCAAUCAGACGUUGUCCACAUUGCGCCACUGAGAAGAGGACACGAAUGACUUGCAUUGUUUGACCUAUCGAAACCUAUACGAGAAGUCGGCCCAGGACGCACAUUCCCCCAGGGCGUGAGUCGUGACGUUGUCCACAUACGUGAGGCCGACAACGGCAAGCCCUAUCACCACCACCACCACCACCUCAUUAUUUGUUACACCUGAUGCUUUUUCUUGUGAAAAAGCUCUGAAAGCAGUCUAUAGAUGCCGUUCUUUGCAGUUGAGUUAUAUGGCCUUAUAGUUAAAGGAGUCUGCUGCGGGCCGCUCCUGGGACGCGCGGUUUUGGUUUCAGCUCAUUUGCAUAGCGAAAUUCGCCGACGAAUAUUUCGCGGCACGUGCUCUUUCCAGUACUUUUAAAAGAUAGAAUGACUUUCAACGAGGAUUGUCUCCCAUUCGGCGCUACCCCGCUUUUGCCCGUAAUUCCCUAACUGAAGGGUUAUAUAGUUUUAUAUAGUUUUAUUAGCUUGUCCAUAAACAGCGCGAUGGCCUUCCAAUAUGGCACAAUGGUUAGUACAAAACAGAACAGUUAGUUAAUUAAUUAAUGGUAGGUAAUUAUUCAUCCUGCAAUUACAUUCUAUCUUCGACAGGAUGUCUGCUUGGCCGUGUAACUCAACUGCAAAGACAACAUAUAUGCAUGCUCUCGUAGCUUUUUUACAAAAAAUCUGUAAACGAUUUAAAAAAAAAAUAAAGAAAAACGUACUGUGUUUUCAAAGUGCCACAACUCCUUAAAGUCACAGCGAACGUAUAUAAUGAAUAUAUGAUGUGAAAUUUGAGCGGAUCGAAUGAUCCUCGCGGCUUCUUGUUGAUUUUUUGCGAGGUUCUUACGCGGAGACUGAGAUAUUUCAUCGUCUCAGUUCGUGAGUUAUUUGUACCUUAUCAGGCAGACUUGUACGUAUUUGGAGUAUUGUAUUUAAAAUACUGUAUUUUAAAUACAAUUUGCGGUAUUUUGGCACUCUACUCUAAACUUUUUGUUUUGUGUAUUUGUACUCUAUUUAAAAUACAUUUUAUGGUAUUUUCUACUCAAUACUCUAAUUACAUAUUUUGGAUCUCCC
This is a long non-coding RNA of Ornithodoros turicata, 1488 nucleotides long. RefSeq lists it as uncharacterized. NCBI's taxonomy places the organism in Eukaryota, Metazoa, Arthropoda, Arachnida, Ixodida, Argasidae. The record is from RefSeq and is a predicted model, not a curated record. The transcript is spliced from 3 exons.